GAGAGGAUCUAGCGCGGCAGGAGCUCUCGUCCUGUGCAGGGGGUAGGGGCGAGAGGGGAAUGCAAAGUGGUCCAGUGGUCCGGCUGCUUUGAAGACAGAGUGACAGUUUCUCACAAAAUCGGAAACACUCUGUGUGACCCGGCAGUCCUGCUCUCCUGCAUUUACUCGGAGGAGCUGAAAGCUCACGUUCACACAAAGCCUGAACACGUGUGUAUAUGGCGCCUUGAGCCAUAACUGGAAAAUUAGAAAGCUACCAAGAUGUUCUCUACUAAGUGAAUGAUUGACAGUAUUUCAUCCAGACAGUAAAAUAUUUUGCAGCACUAAAAGUUAGGCUAUCAACCCACGACAAAGCAUAGAGGAACCUUAAAAUCCAUCUUAAGCCAAAGAAGGUGAUAAGAAAGUUUUAGCUAUUGUAUGAUUUCCACCAGCUUGCAUUCGGUAAAAGGCAAACCUGUGGAGACCGUAACAGUUUCGGCGGUGGCCAUGGGUGAAAGGUGACUGCGCGUUGAGGAGACAGCACUAUUCUCUGGGAUCCACUGGUGUGGAUGCAUCUGUCCUCAGAUCUGCAGACUGUGCACCAUGAAGGGAGAUGGGAGCGCUCUGUCCGUGACGGUGUGACGGUACAGGCAGAUGCCUUUUAGCACGCCGUGAAGGUGGCUGGGCAUGUCUGGGCAUAGGAGGCGAGAGCAAUUUUAUGGACUUUCCAGUGAAUUUUGCUGCAAACUAAAAACUGUUCUGAAAAUAAAGUCUAUUAAAAAGAGCAAAACAUAAUUCACAGCUUAAACAACUAGUCAUUCUGGGUUUAGGAUCUACAGAUACAUGGAAAUGAAGGAGAUGUCACAACUCCAAAAUUUAUGCAAGAGGAGAGUAGAAAUGUAUGCUCCUGAUGGCUUUGCCGUAUGUAUGUGGUCACACUAUUUGAAGGCAGAAUGUGAAAGACGAAGAAGCAAGGGUAUUCCCUGAGCACGCUUGUUAAAAAUGAAAUGAACGACUACCAGAGAAAAGGAAAUACUCAGGGUAGGCAAUUAAUCUACAAAGAAAAUAGACAAAGUAAAAACAGCUAAAACCAUGGCAGAAAAUGGAUGGAACAGAGAUCAGGUGACAAGACCAUAGACUUACUACAAGCUCACAGGAGUGCACACACAUAGCUAAGUGUAUAUAAAUAAGUCAAGGUCUCAUGGGGCUGCUGCCGCAUGCCUGUAAUUCCAGCACUUGAGAGAAUGAGGCAGGAGGAUUGCAAGUUCAAGGUCAGCCUGGGCUACAACACAUUUGAAGCCAGCUGGAAUUGCAUAGUUUGAAUAAAUAUAUAAAAAAAAAUUCUUAACCCUAGAAACACCAUAAAAUAUAUGACAGAUGGGAUUUCACUGAAUUAGAAACAUAUGUUCCUGAGAAAAUUAGCUAUAGUCUGUAAGAAAAUACUUGAAACGCAUCAUUGGUACAAGUCUUGUAUGUGGUACAUAUAAAGAACUCAUUGAAUUAAAUCUGUGUUAAUAUCAUUGACAUCUCCACGGCUUCAGGAGUUUAAAGUUGGUUUCUCGCUCAUAUUCUGUAUCAGAUUCAGAAAUGUUACUCGGGUUCUCUGGAGAAACAGCCCAGCAGGAAGACAUUAUUGACCGGGGAUUGGAUCACCAGAUCACCGAAGUUGAGCAGCCUGAGAUCUGCAGUUUGUAAAUGGGAGACCAGGAGAGCCGAGGGUUAACAGCCUGAGCCUCCAGGCAAGGGGGACCCUAAGGCAGUUCCAGCCAGAAGUCCUGCAAGCUGAGAGGCUGAGGGGAGCUGGUGACCUAAGGCAAGGAAAACCUUAGAGUCCUGCGGGAGUCGGCCAAGAAGGAGGAGCCCCGCUCCCCAUAAAGCCAAUCACUUAUUCCAACGGUGAAUUCGGCUGAACAGCGGCCGACGCAAGGCAGCACGAGAGAUUUACUCCGUCCGCCAACUGCAUUGCUGACCGCAUGCCCAGGUGCACCAGGAAGAGGGGACCUAGGCCUGGCGCCCGUGGCGAUGGGCACGCAGCUUUAAUCCGGUGGCAGCAGCUGCGCUCUGCGCGGGUGUGUGGGAUUCUCCACUCCAGGCUGACGCACAGGCCCUUCCUGGGAUGGAAACUGCAGGAAGGCAGUGGGAAGGCACGAGGACCGGUGAAGGAUGGUCUCCGACCAAGCUUUGCUCUGAACGUAGGCGCUGGUCGCUCUUCUCAGGCUUUGUGGGCUAAGCGACGUCAUGGCUGAGCUGAUGUGAGCGAGGGGGAAAUGAACAGCUGGAUACAGCGUGCGUCCGAUGAAAGCAGGCGCUUAGUCUCGGGGAUGGGGUGACUGGGAACCCCAACUCACCUCAUCACGUUGUCUCCACAGGCUCAGGAAGGAAUCAUUUUUCAGAAGAGUCUCCACAUCAGCUUGGAAGCCAGGAUGUUUCCAUAUAACAGAAAUGCAUUCUGGGGACAGAGAAAAUAGAAAUUCUUGCCUUCAGUCUCUCGAUAGAUGCUUUACAUCAGUGAUAUUACAUGAAGAGCAUUUAGAAAGUCGGCUUCAGUGACUGCUGCUGUGGUUUGCAGGCAAAAAGCGUGGAAUACUGCAAACACAUUCCUUCCGGCAAGAUGACAACUAUGGUUUGCUGCUGUUGUUUUCUCUGAACAGUGCCCUGGCUGGGUUGUGACCCAUCUAAGCGCCCCGUUGUUCAGGCAGCCCGUCCUUGCAAGAGCUGAACUUCCACAAGUUGGACUUUUAAGAGAAAACACUGAAAAAAGUGAUAUUGACAUUAGCAUUGAAUACUUGACUUUAUAAAUCAACAAUGUGGUGUUACCUUGAAUUUAGAAGCUUGAUAAAGAAAGUCCGCACAUUAAAAACGUGUUUGCCCCACCUUGCAUUAGCAAGAACCAAGGUGCUUGAUUGGAGGAAAAUUGCCAAAGCGGCUACUUAUCAGGAAUUCAGUAUAAAGUUUAAGCAACUAACAAUACUUUUGCAAAGCUCUCCAGAACUGUAAUCCUGGAUUUCUAAAUUUUAAUAUAUUACCAAAUAUGCAUGUGCUAACCUAAAAUCUUACUCUAAAUGAUUAUUUCUUUCUAUUUUUUGCAUAAGACAAUGGAGUCAUUGAAUGUAAUGCAACUGAUUUUCUUUAACUGCUUUCAUAUCAUACUCCUUUAACGGUGAAUCCACAAUGAUGACGUGAAUAUAGAAAAGAAGCUGCUGUUGGAGAGGAAGGAAGGGGCGGUCAUAGGUAAGAUGACUGUGAUCAAAGCACGUUAUACACACUGAAGCCCCCAAAAUGUGAAGUGGGGGAAGGGCGGAGAAGGAAGUGACGGGGGAGACGAUUAAAAUACACCCUGCGCACGCACACAUCUGCCCAGUGAAAGCACUGACCUGGGUGAUCAGCACAAACUAACAGUGUGGGGGUGCCGAGAGGAGCUCCAGGCCCAGGAGUGUCCUGCAGGGGCAGCUCCAUGCUUUUGUUCUUGGCCAGGCUGCCUAGCUGUCUUCUAUUUUUUCCUCUUUUUUUUUUUUUUUCUUUAUAAUUUGGCACAAAUUGUAUAUAGAGGGAAUUUUUCUCUCUGUCUAAAGCUUGUGUUCAGUUGGGUCAUUUUUGUUCAGAGUCAUGUAUUUUCUGUGGUGUGAGGAUAAUACUUUCUCUAGCCCUGUUUAUGCCAGAUAUGCAUAUUUCAUUCUAGUAAGAGUUAUGCUUCUUAUUCAUGGCCUUUGUGUCCUGUGACAGAGCACAGAGACAUUCCAUUUCUGGGCCAUCAUUUUCUCAAAAUUCCAAGAGGCAUUUAUGGAAAAGAGAAUGUUAUAUAGCAGAAAGAUACUUUAAAAGUAGAUUGCCUGGAAAUUGGAAAUAGCCAUAGACUAUUCAAGCGUUCAUUCUUCUACUGAUAGGAUACUAAUGCAGAAAUAUAGGCAGUUUUAUGAAUUCAGAAAACAUGACAGUGACCUUGAGGGUUAGUUGAAAAGGGAUGUAAAGGGGUUGGAGCUGUCUCAGUGGCACAGAUUUUUGUGCCUGGCCAUGCUGUUUAGAAGAGCUGUUUCUGUGGGGAACACGAAACAGUAUAGGAAACAUUGGAACGAGCAGUUUCUCAAUGAAACUCACAGAAAGCUCUUUGGUGAGGAAAAGCUGAUUCUAGAGAUGUCAAAUUGUGCAGAUGUUAUAUUAAAAUUCUACCGUCCAGAUUUGAGCAGCUGCUCAUUUGCCUUUGACAUAAUAAACGCAGUCCGUCCAAGCUUGCACUUGAGUGGUGGGUGCUGCCGACAAGCACAGUCACAUGCAAGUUGGUGGGAUUCUCGUCUCCCGUAAACGGGCAUGACGAGUCCUGUGAGUGGGUUUUACAGCAGUUCAGGCCCAGAGCUGAUCUGUUUGGUGUGCAGAAUUCAUACUGAAUGCUUUGCAAGUGAAUUUGCUCAGCAUUAGUUCCACUCUGUGUAGCUCAGCAGGUCUCCCUGCAUCACCAAAGUCUAAACAAAUCAUAAAUGAAUGCAUUGGCCAAUAGUAACAACCAAUGAUAGCAACAAAGCCUGUAACAGGAAGUUCACUGAGAAAGUCUGGUCAUAGGAAAUGUUAGCACAAUCAUAAUUUAUAUAUAUUUUCAAGGGAAAGAAUCAUACUUUCUCUCUAUAGUCAAAAUUUUCUGCUCAGAGUACUGACGUUUAUUAUAUUACAGAGGAGAACCCUCUGUCUGCUGAGGGCUGGGUGUCAGGUGUCAUUUCUGCCCUGGCCCACAUGUACCAUUCAUGUCUUUGUUUCCCAGUUAUCUUUGUUUCCUACAGUUUUUCAUGCUAAUGAAAUAAGAAAAUUUUACUUGUAACCAUCAUGCAUGUAUCUUAUAAACAAGUGCUAGUAAAAAUUAAAUGAAAAAAGGAAAAUAGAAUGGUAAGGUAAUUAUCUUAUAGACACCAGACUUCCAUCAAAUACAUGUUGGCCAAAAGGGGCCAGGGGUGAUUCUCUGUGGCUGUGAAACACUUCUUGAUGACUGAGGAAAGUACUCUUCCCAGCCCAUGUCUUCUCAUAACCCAGAUACAUCAGUCUUUCUUAGAUACCAAGUAAAGAAACAUGAAAGGCUCACACCUGUUUCCAAGGGUACAAAGUUCCACGCCUGAGCUGCACAACAGGCCAAGUGAAGCGUUCGUGUCACCACCACUGUUCUGCGAGAGCUUACUCUAGUGGCUGCUGUGUGCAGGCUUCAGCCAGACACCUCUGAUCACAAUGCCUCUGAGAUGACCUAUUUAUGCAUGAGCACCUGGAGAGAUAGUGCUUAUCAUGUGGUUAUAAGAGAAGUAUUGCCAAAAACUGAGCUGGGGGUGGUGGCACACUCCUGUAAUCCCAGUACUCAGGAGGCUG
Molecule: long non-coding RNA, 5316 nt
Organism: Chinchilla lanigera (long-tailed chinchilla)
Lineage: Eukaryota; Metazoa; Chordata; Mammalia; Rodentia; Chinchillidae
Exons: 4
Source: RefSeq, a predicted model, not a curated record